AGAAUACGACCUUCAAGGGUUCAAGGCAGGGCAACACAUACACACGGGCUCUCGCUGUCUCUCUCUUUACAUAUAAGUUGCAGGUGUGAAUGGAGGGCGUCUAGCAUUUCAACUGGUAGGUUGUGGAUAUGGAUGCUGCUUUACUCGUUUUGAAGAUUUCUCUCUUUUAGCCAGAAGUUUGGAGAUGAAGGCCUAUUUUCCAAAGGGAAAGUCUACAUGAGAAGGUCAUGAUUACCCCCAAACUGUAAGAUGUGGAAUGGUAUGGGAAGGUUAUGAUCACCCCUAACUAACUAUAAGAGGUGGAACGCCAGGGGUGUACCAUUCAUUGACUGUGGUCCAAGUCGGAGAAAUUUUUAUUGAACUUUCUUAUAAGGAAUGGCACGACCUUACCUGCCUGAUUUCAUGUUUAGUGGUUAGGGAUGAAUGCGACUUUUUUGUACCAAAAUUGGAUGGCUUGUAGCCUAGAUUACCAUUUUUGUAUGGUGAUGAAGAAUUUUCUUUUUUGA
Molecule: long non-coding RNA, 506 nt
Organism: Amborella trichopoda
Lineage: Eukaryota; Viridiplantae; Streptophyta; Magnoliopsida; Amborellales; Amborellaceae
Source: RefSeq, a predicted model, not a curated record